UACGAAGGGGGCUAGCGUUGCUCGGAAUCACUGGGCGUAAAGCGCACGUAGGCGGAUCUUUAAGUCAGGGGUGAAAUCCUGGAGCUCAACUCCAGAACUGCCUUUGAUACUGGGGAUCUCGAGUCCGGAAGAGGUGAGUGGAACUGCGAGUGUAGAGGUGAAAUUCGUAGAUAUUCGCAAGAACACCAGUGGCGAAGGCGGCUCACUGGCCCGAUACUGACGCUGAGACGCGAAAGCGUGGGGAGCAAACAGG
This 253-nucleotide ribosomal RNA is filed under the name uncultured bacterium. Its description in RNAcentral is "partial 16S ribosomal RNA". It matches the Rfam family "Bacterial small subunit ribosomal RNA", at positions 524 to 776 of the family's 1533-position model. The record is from RNAcentral.